This 1494-nucleotide long non-coding RNA is filed under the name Homo sapiens (human). RNAcentral's name for it is "HSALNT0361551". The record is from RNAcentral. Lineage: Eukaryota; Metazoa; Chordata; Mammalia; Primates; Hominidae.
CAGCCAGAAAGUAUUGCACAAAAAUACUAAGGGGAUACCUGAUCACUGAGUGCUGGGCAGAAAGAUACAGGGAUAGAAACAGGGAACAAAUCCUGGGCAGAACUGAUGCCAAACAACAAUACGGCUGGAAGGAGUGGUUGCAGGAUCUGAGCCAUGGUGCCUCAGGGACAAUGAGCACAUAAUAUGUGGGUUGGUUACGCUUAUUUAACAACUGAGGCAGACAGCAGAAGCAGGAGAAUCUCAUCUAGCUGAUUUCAUCUCAGAAUCUGGUGCACUCUCAUUAUCUCCAUCCUUCCCCUGACUCUGCCUGGUCACCCCUAAUUCACCUAGCUCCUCUUUCUGUACCUGCCCUUUGGGCACAAUUCAUCAGCAGCCUCCCUUUCCCAGUUUAGAACCCAUUUCUUCUCACUUAUUUGACUUCUGCUCCUGAGCCUUCUGGGACCUCAGUCCCUUCCACUGGUCAUCAGUACUCAUUAUUCCUGACAUAUAGGAGUCAGGUAUAGAAGAGUGGUGCUCUCAAAUAACCAUUCAAAGCCAGGGAGAACUGGGAGCUGCCAUGAGAUCAUCCUGAGAGGAGCGGCAAUAACCAAAAGGCAACCAGGCAGGCAGAGGGGCUUUAGGCUAGCAGCCAAGGCAGUGUCUAAAAGGCUUUGUUUCUGGCUCAGUUCCUGGUGUCAGUGUGGAAGUAACAGAGUGAGCUACACAGGUAGAUACUUUGCAAGUAUCACCUUAGGAAGCUCUAAACAUUAAUAGGUAGCAUGGUAGUUAGGAUGACAGACCAGUAGCCCUGGAGUCCUCAGGCAGAGAGACUUGAGACAUGGCCUCCUUCAGUAAAAAGAAAACCUUCUGGGUUUGUGAUUCCUCCAGACUCCCCAAUCCUCACUUCUCUCACUAGCUGACUGUCCUUGUCCAUCUCUGUGCAUGGGACACAUCAGCCAGUGCUUAUUCACUUAUAUCAGGAAGACCGCUUCAAACAAAGGAAGAGGACAGAUAAUUCUAGGCUUGGAUAGAAUCACCAACUGGCUGCUGUGAAGACCUACUCAUAACUUCCAAAAGCUGUUAUAACCCCUGCCAACCUACAUCUUUCUCCCGUGUUAGAUGCUUCCUGCCCUCGAACAUUGGACUCUAAGUUCUUCAGUUUUGGAACUUGGACUGGCUCUCCUUACUCCUCAGCUUGCAGAUGACCUAUUAUGGGAUCUUGUGAUCAUGUGGCCACCUCCAGCCUGGAGCUGCCUAAGCCAAGAGAGGCCUGUGUGAACCUUUCAGGACACCAUUGAGUUUGGCAUAAAUAUUUUCACCAAGCCCCAUCCCAGCCACACUUGGAAUCUGGAAAUCUUUGUGUGAAAUCAGAGCAUAUUUCCAGCUUAGAAACAGAAACUGAUCCUUACUUCCAGAAGAAGAAAACAGACUGCAUUAAGUGGAUUUAUUUUCAAAUCCUGGCUCAGCCACUUAUUAUUCAAUUUCCAGUAAAUUUCUUCAUCUUUUAUACUCUCA